UGACUACCGGUUUCUUCUAACCCCUUCAAGGUGAUACAAGGAUGUCUGACAACCGGUUUUUUCUAACCCCCUUUUAUCGAGACCUCUUCCUAACUCUACUUUUACCCUAACCCUAGAGUGAAGCGUUACGUAACUUCUUAGUACUAUUAAAAAUGUCCGACAAGAAAGAAAUCAUGGUUACUUAUUGAACCAAUGUGUUAUAUGAACUUCUAACGUAAUCCUUGUUUUACGAAUCGUCUGGUUUGAUUAAUCAAAAGACCUCUGUCUGAUGAGAACGUAGUAAUACACGUUGGGUGUCCAUAGAGUGAGCCGCUCUGUACGUGUGGAUACGGUGUAGAAAUGUACAAAGUGUUUUUGUAUUUGUACUAACCUACCCGCAGGAACGGCCGCUGGAGCGAUAGAGGUUGGGUAGGUGUCCAACGAACCACAGGAGAGUAGCACAGAUAACCACGUCAUAGUGUAUAGGAGAGAGCUUCUCUACUCUAUUCCUAAUGUCCCGAUGGUUGUUGGGUGGAGUGGAUAUUACCUUCUGUAGGACUAAGUAACAACGUUCGAUCUCUUGUUAUUGAUAGUACAACCACUAAAGGAACUAUAUACCAAGAUGUGCACACAGUAUACCUGGUUACUUUCGUUUCUAUAACGCCUCUAUUAUUGAUAUACCCGAUGAGGUUUACCUCACCGUCACCUUGGUUGUGGAAAAUAUCCGGAAGUUCAUGGACACACCUUCAGAUGGUACGUUCGUAAUAGGCUGCUGAUUGUGAAACGAAUACACAUGUAUAGGAGACUUCUGGUGUUGGCCUGAUUCUUCUACAGAUUUAUUCGACACUCCGACGGAUAUAUAUUC
Molecule: ribosomal RNA, 844 nt
Filed under: Triticum aestivum (bread wheat)
Lineage: Eukaryota; Viridiplantae; Streptophyta; Magnoliopsida; Poales; Poaceae
Description: partial small subunit ribosomal RNA
Source: RNAcentral